AUACGGAAGGUCCGGGCGUUAUCCGGAUUUAUUGGGUUUAAAGGGAGCGCAGGCGGCACUUCAAGCGUGACGUUAAAUUUCGGGGCUCACCCCCGUUUUGCGUCGCGAACUGUUGUGCUUGAGUAGGCGGCAGGGAGGCGGAAUUCGCGGUGUGGCGGGGAAAUGCUUAGCUAUCGCGAGGAACUCCGAUAGCGCAGGCAGCCUCCCGUUUCUUUACUGACGCUCAUGCUCGAAGGUGCGGGUAUCGAACAGGAUUAGAUACCCUGGUAGUCCGCACUGUAAACGAUGGAUGCCCGCUGUUGGGCCGUUUGGGUUCAGUGGCCAAGAGAAAUCGUUAAGCAUCCCACCUGGGGAGUACGCCGGCAACGGUGAAACUCAAAUGAAUUGGCGGGG
RNAcentral lists this ribosomal RNA (393 nucleotides) under uncultured bacterium. Its description in RNAcentral is "partial 16S ribosomal RNA". It matches the Rfam family "Bacterial small subunit ribosomal RNA", at positions 523 to 918 of the family's 1533-position model. The record is from RNAcentral.